AGUGAACGCUGGCGGUGGGCCUAACACAUGCAAGUCGAACGGCAGCACAGUACUAGCUUGCUCUUACGGGUGGCGAGUGGCGGACGGGUGAGGAAUACAUCGGAAUCUACUUUUUCGUGGGGGUUAACGUAGGGAAACUUACGCUAAUACCGCAUACGACCUACGGGUGAAAGCAUGGGAUCUUCGGACCUUGUGCGAUUGAAUGAGCCGCUGUCGGAUUAGCUGGUUGGCGGGGUAAAGGCCCACCAAGGCGACGAUCCGUAGCUGGUCUGAGAGGAUGAUCAGCCACACUGGAACUGAGACACGCACCAGACUCCUACGGGAGGCAGCAGAGGGGAAUAUUGGACAAUGGGCGCAAGCCUGAUCCAACCAGACCGAGUGGGUGAAGAAGACCUUCGGGUUGUAAAGCCCUUUUGUUGGGAGAGAAAAGCAGCAGGUUAAGACCCAGCUGUUCUGACGGUACCCAAAGAAUAAGCACCGGCUAACUUCGUG
RNAcentral lists this ribosomal RNA (492 nucleotides) under uncultured bacterium. RNAcentral describes it as "partial 16S ribosomal RNA". It matches the Rfam family "Bacterial small subunit ribosomal RNA", at positions 29 to 507 of the family's 1533-position model. The record is from RNAcentral.